Pelobates cultripes (western spadefoot toad) is the source of this 105-nucleotide non-coding RNA. NCBI's taxonomy places the organism in Eukaryota, Metazoa, Chordata, Amphibia, Anura, Pelobatidae. The record is from the annotation of a GenBank genome assembly.
AUCAAUGGCCAUACCAGUCUGAAAAUGCCAUCAGAAGCCAUCCAGACUUGGGCCUGGUUAGUACUUGUAUGGGAGACCAACUAGGAACCUCAGGUGCCAUAAGUU